UAGGGAUACAGCUCAGUGGUAGAGCACUUGUCUUGCAUGUGUGAGGCCCUGGGUUUAAUCCCCAGAACCUUAA
RNAcentral lists this transfer RNA (73 nucleotides) under Marmota monax (woodchuck). RNAcentral describes it as "tRNA.Ala". It matches the Rfam family "tRNA". Rfam says of the family: Transfer RNA (tRNA) molecules are approximately 80 nucleotides in length. Their secondary structure includes four short double-helical elements and three loops (D, anti-codon, and T loops). Further hydrogen bonds mediate the characteristic L-shaped molecular structure. tRNAs have two regions of fundamental functional importance: the anti-codon, which is responsible for specific mRNA codon recognition, and the 3' end, to which the tRNAs corresponding amino acid is attached (by aminoacyl-tRNA synthetases). tRNAs cope with the degeneracy of the genetic code in two manners: having more than one tRNA (with a specific anti-codon) for a particular amino acid; and 'wobble' base-pairing, i.e. permitting non-standard base-pairing at the 3rd anti-codon position. The record is from RNAcentral. Lineage: Eukaryota; Metazoa; Chordata; Mammalia; Rodentia; Sciuridae.